CGAACGGGUGAGGAACACGUGAAGAAUCUGCCCUCCACUUUGGGAUAACUCCGGGAAACCGGGGCUAAUACCGAAUACUGAAACAUAAGUGGCAUCACUGAGUUUUGAAAGAAUUUCGGUGGAGGAUGACUUCGCGGCCUAUCAGCUUGUUGGUGAGGUAAUGGCUCACCAAGGCGACGACGGGUAGCCGGCCUGAGAGGGCGACCGGCCACACUGGGACUGAGACACGGCCCAGACUCCUACGGGAGGCAGCAGUGGGGAAUAUUGGGCAAUGGACGAAAGUCUGACCCAGCGACGCCGCGUGCGGGAUGAAGGCCUUCGGGUUGUAAACCGCUUUCAGCAGGGAAGAAGCGAAAGUGACGGUACCUGCAAAAGAAGCACCGGCUAACUAUGUGCCAGCAGCCGCGGUAAUACAUAGGGUGCAAGCGUUGUCCGGAAUUAUUGGGCGUAAAGAGCUCGUAGGUCGUUAAUUACGUCGGGUGUGAAAAUCUGGGGCUCAACCCCAGACCUGCACUCGAUACGGGUUAGCUAGAGUUUGGUAGGGGAGACUGGAAUUCCUGGUGUAGCGGUGGAAUGCGCAGAUAUCAGGAGGAACACCAAUGGCGAAGGCAGGUCUCUGGGCCAAUACUGACACUGAGGAGCGAAAGCGC
This 650-nucleotide ribosomal RNA is filed under the name uncultured Actinomycetes bacterium. Its description in RNAcentral is "bacterial SSU rRNA". It matches the Rfam family "Bacterial small subunit ribosomal RNA", at positions 99 to 762 of the family's 1533-position model. Lineage: Bacteria; Bacillati; Actinomycetota; Actinomycetes. The record is from RNAcentral.